ACGCUCGCAAAACCUUAGCCACCUCUCACCGUCCCGGCAAAGCUUUGAUUUCCACUUCCGUUAUGAUUCUCCUUCGAUUUUCUCAUCUUGAAGGACAUACAAAAUCAUCUUUCUACCCAACAUUAAUUCUCUUUUACACUAAACAACAGGUCAUCAUCAACAACCAUUUCAAUUGUGAAAUUCUCUUUUGUGGUGUUUAAUAUCUUUUGGUUUUGAUUGAUGAAUGUUGAAAGGUGAAAGUAGUCUUAGUGAUGGGAAAGCUAUAGUGAGAGGUUGAGUUGCAGAAAAAGUUGUAGUGAGAAUUUGAAGUGGUUACUGGUUAAAGCAUGGGCUUCUUUUGGACAGGGUGAAUUGUACUUUGAGACAAGAAAAUAUCCAACAGUAUGAAGGUAUGCGAACAUCAAAUUUAGUUAUUGGUUGACAUUAUUAUGAAUGGGUAUUUGAUGGUUAUUUGAUCAUGUGUGGUUGGGCCUAACUCAACCCUACAAAACCGGCUUGUAGGGUGAGGAUUGCCCCCCACUUAUAAGGACAUGUUCAGGCCAUAUAUUGUCCGAUGUGGGACUCUUAACACACCUCCUCACGCCCAGGACUAGACAACUGGAGCGUGGAAAUAAAUGGUGGGUGGUCCGAUAGCGGAAACCAUAGAAGGUGGCCCACCGGAUCUUAAACCAGGCUCUGAUACCAUGUUAAGAAGUGUGGUUGGGCCUAACUCAACCCUACAAAACCGGCUUGUAGGGUGAGGAUUGCCCCCCACUUAUAAGAACAUGUUCAGGCAAUAUAUUAUCCAAUGUGGGACUCUUAACAAUUACUAAUAAGUAUUUUACAUGUUUAGGUGUUAUUUAAUGGUUCUAAAUUUUGUUGUUGGAGAUUAAGCCCUUGACAUCACUAAAAUAGAGAAGGUUCAUCAUAUCUCAGCUUUACCCCACCAAAAUAACAGCUUGCUAUUGUAUAAUAAAAAACCAUCAUGUACAUUAUAUUCAUCACUGUAAUCCUUUCCAAUAUAAAAAUAUACAAACAAAACCUUUAUAUUCAGCAAUGUAACUUAAAAAUUCUUAUGUUGAAAACUAUUUUUACCUGUCAUUAUAGGUUAUAUAAGCUUUAUUAAUUUACAAUUUGUUGUCGUAGCAACUGCUAUUAGCGUCUCGCAGGUCAAAAACCUGACAUUGCUACUAUUAAUCUAUAUCAUGUGCUAUUGACAACAUUAAAAAAUAACUAUAGUUCUGAAACUAACUAAAUCACUCAAACCACAUCAAACUAAACUUCGAAAGUUGUCCAAGUUUUGAAAA
Molecule: long non-coding RNA, 1286 nt
Organism: Vicia villosa (hairy vetch)
Lineage: Eukaryota; Viridiplantae; Streptophyta; Magnoliopsida; Fabales; Fabaceae
Exons: 3
Source: RefSeq, a predicted model, not a curated record